UGUACCUGAACGUAUGAAAAAUUCUUUUGUAUACGGCGGAUUUGCCGGCGUGCCCGGGAAACGUGCAAUCCGGGGCAUAACAACAGUGACAACAAAUUUCACUAUAUGGAAAAUUGGCCCAAGAUUUGAUACAAAUACCGGCAUCCCAACUUGCCACAGCUACAAAUGCUGACAGAUACACACUCCCACCUAUAAUUAGUACUAUUCUUGGAAGUAUGCAUAUCUUUCAAAUUAUUCUGAGCACACCAACCUUCAAUACAGAAAGUAUGAGUUUCAAAGUAGUUAGAAUUUUAUCUCCUCCUGAAAGAGAAAUGGCAACAACAUCUGAACAGUUUGCUUCUUCAUCCUCUUAUACAAUUUCUUCACAUAAUCAUACUCAACAAGCAAAAAGAAACAGAGAAGAUCAACUAGAGUUAUAUUUAGAACAUACACCAUCAAAGCAAGAAAUGAGCAUCCCGGAUGUGACCUCUCCUUAAUAAUGUUCUCCUAAAUCUCCAGAAGAUACAGUCUCAACACCACCUGCCAAAAAAAUCUUCAA
Molecule: long non-coding RNA, 538 nt
Organism: Ananas comosus (pineapple)
Lineage: Eukaryota; Viridiplantae; Streptophyta; Magnoliopsida; Poales; Bromeliaceae
Exons: 3
Source: RefSeq, a predicted model, not a curated record